UACGUAGGGUGCAAGCGUUAUCCGGAAUUAUUGGGCGUAAAGCGUCCGUAGGUGGUUUUACAAGUCAGCUGUUAAAGCGUGAGGCUUAACCACUGACAGGCGGUGGAAACUGAAUAGCUAGAGUGUGGUAGGGGUAGAGGGAAUUCCCGGUGUAGCGGUGAAAUGCGUAGAGAUUGGGAAGAACACCGGUGGCGAAAGCGCUCUGCUGGACCACAACUGACACUCACAGGACGAAAGCUAGGGGAGCGAAAGGG
RNAcentral lists this ribosomal RNA (254 nucleotides) under uncultured bacterium. Its description in RNAcentral is "partial 16S ribosomal RNA". It matches the Rfam family "Bacterial small subunit ribosomal RNA", at positions 524 to 776 of the family's 1533-position model. The record is from RNAcentral.